This 253-nucleotide ribosomal RNA is filed under the name uncultured bacterium. RNAcentral's name for it is "partial 16S ribosomal RNA". It matches the Rfam family "Bacterial small subunit ribosomal RNA", at positions 524 to 776 of the family's 1533-position model. The record is from RNAcentral.
UACGUAGGGUGCAAGCGUUAAUCGGAAUUAUUGGGCGUAAAGCGCGCGCAGGCGGUCCUUUAAGUCUGAUGUGAAAGCCCACGGCUCAACCGUGGAGGGUCAUUGGAAACUGGGGGACUUGAGUACAGAAGAGAAGAGUGGAAUUCCACGUGUAGCGGUGAAAUGCGCAGAUAUCAGGAAGAACACCCGUGGCGAAGGCGGCUCUCUGGAACGCAACUGACGCUGAGACGCGAAAGCGUGGGGAGCAAACAGG